AUUGAGAGUCUGUGCGACGCAGUGGUAGCGGACGGUCGUGUUUUCGGGAGCGGUAGUGAUAAGAUAGCCUAUCGGUUUUACUUGUCUGCCAGCUAAUACUGUAGUUAGAGAAUAGCUUCGCCAAUGUACAUUGAAGAGUUCUAUUGAAGACCAAAAACUUUCAAUACCCAUUCAAUAAGAAAUCACACAUCUAAAAUCCAACUUCAAGAUUUCUGAUUAGUGAUAAUAGACAACUUAUUGGAGAGAGUGAAGGCUAUAAAAUGUUGAAGCAUCUCUACAUUUUGUCAGCGAGAAGAUGGAGAACCUAAAUGGAGCGCGUACCAUAAGAACCUUUAUGAUGAUAUAUAUCAUUUUUCGUACACAGAAAGCAGCUGUUUUCCAGUCCCCACGUAGAUCUGAAAGACAUUAAUUGCAGACAACUCUCGUCUCACGUCAGAACAGGUUCCGGCCUAGCCCGG
This is a long non-coding RNA of Nilaparvata lugens (brown planthopper), 458 nucleotides long. RefSeq lists it as uncharacterized. NCBI's taxonomy places the organism in Eukaryota, Metazoa, Arthropoda, Insecta, Hemiptera, Delphacidae. The transcript has 3 exons. The record is from RefSeq and is a predicted model, not a curated record.